GGUUGCGAUCAUACCAGCACUUAUGCACCGCAUCCCAUCAGAACUCCGCAGUUAAGCGUGCUUGGGCGAGAGUAGUACUAGGAUGGGUGACCCCCUGGGAAGUCCUCGUGUUGCAACCCC
This 120-nucleotide ribosomal RNA is filed under the name Helianthus annuus (common sunflower). The record is from RNAcentral. Lineage: Eukaryota; Viridiplantae; Streptophyta; Magnoliopsida; Asterales; Asteraceae.